This is a small nuclear RNA of Suncus etruscus (white-toothed pygmy shrew), 109 nucleotides long. The record is from RefSeq and is a predicted model, not a curated record. Lineage: Eukaryota; Metazoa; Chordata; Mammalia; Eulipotyphla; Soricidae.
GUGCUCGCUUUGGAAGCAUAUAUACGAAAACUGAAACAAUGCAGAAAAGAUUAGCAUGGCCCCUAUGCAAGGAUGACACACAAACCAUAGUCAGAAACACUGAAAUAUC